RNAcentral lists this ribosomal RNA (200 nucleotides) under uncultured eukaryote. RNAcentral describes it as "partial 18S ribosomal RNA". The record is from RNAcentral.
CGACCAGCGAUCCAUACCGGGUUGAACUUGCGCUCCCCACGUGGUCGAUAAACCAUCCAUGACCUGCAUGGCAAUAAAUCCGCCAACACCGGCAAGCAUCAGCAGAAAACCGAGAGCUGCAAGCUGACUCCAGUUUUUUGUUCGAACGAGGGGAUGUGAACGGCGACCAGUCCGAGAGCUGAACCUUGGAUGGCGAAGUA